GAUGAACGCUGGCGGCGUGCCUAAUACAUGCAAGUCGAGCGAACGGACGAGAAGCUUGCUUCUCUGAUGUUAGCGGCGGACGGGUGAGUAACACGUGGAUAACCUACCUAUAAGACUGGGAUAACUUCGGGAAACCGGAGCUAAUACCGGAUAAUAUUUUGAACCGCAUGGUUCAAAAGUGAAAGACGGUCUUGCUGUCACUUAUAGAUGGAUCCGCGCUGCAUUAGCUAGUUGGUAAGGUAACGGCUUACCAAGGCGACGAUGCAUAGCCGACCUGAGAGGGUGAUCGGCCACACUGGAACUGAGACACGGUCCAGACGCCUACGGGAGGCAGCAGUAGGGAAUCUUCCGCAAUGGGCGAAAGCCUGACGGAGCAACGCCGCGUGAGUGAUGAAGGUCUUCGGAUCGUAAAACUCUGUUAUUAGGGAAGAACAUAUGUGUAAGUAACUGUGCACAUCUUGACGGUACCUAAUCAGAAAGCCACGGCUAACUACGUG
Molecule: ribosomal RNA, 497 nt
Filed under: uncultured bacterium
Lineage: Bacteria
Description: partial 16S ribosomal RNA
Rfam family: Bacterial small subunit ribosomal RNA
Source: RNAcentral